Long non-coding RNA from Oncorhynchus tshawytscha (Chinook salmon), 573 nucleotides. RefSeq lists it as uncharacterized. The transcript is spliced from 2 exons. The record is from RefSeq and is a predicted model, not a curated record. NCBI's taxonomy places the organism in Eukaryota, Metazoa, Chordata, Actinopteri, Salmoniformes, Salmonidae.
GCAAGAACUGGCAAAUCUUGUGCAGUCCACGAGGAGGAGAUGCACUGCAGUACUUAAUGCAGCUGGUGCCCACACCAGAUACUGACUGACCUUUGAUUUGAACCCCCUCCCUCAUGCAGUUGACAGUGAGAGGACUUUUCUUUCUUCUUUUGCUGAGUUUUUAACUGCUCAAGGUUUCAUCAUUGCAAUAAGAAAGGAUGCAUAGUAAACUGCCCUUAUGUGGAUGUCUCCUAUAAGUGGGCAGGAGGUGGCUUUCUCUCCGCUGUGGGAGAUCUGCUCCUCUUUGGGAAUGCUCUGCUCUACAACUACAAAGUGGCCUACCUGAAGGGUGGUGCAGACCUCCUGUCUGGCUUCCUCAAACCAGAGACGGCACAGGCUCUGUGGGCAUGGUGGACAAGACAGGUCUGCUGGGAUAAGGAUGGGCUGUAUGCGCAGAGCUGGCUGGUGGUGGAGAAGGAUACUGCGAUGUUUCCGAUGGAUGAAUGAUUUAUCAUCAGCACUCAUUUGUAUAUUUGAAACUGCUUUUAUACGUCUACCUUUUAUUUUGUAUUUAUUAUAAAAGACAAUCUUCAA